Microtus oregoni (creeping vole) is the source of this 231-nucleotide long non-coding RNA. RefSeq lists it as uncharacterized. The record is from RefSeq and is a predicted model, not a curated record. The transcript has 2 exons. NCBI's taxonomy places the organism in Eukaryota, Metazoa, Chordata, Mammalia, Rodentia, Cricetidae.
GGCUGCCCUCAGAACUCACUCUGUAGACCAGGCUGGCCACGAACUCACAGAGAUCCGCCGGCCUCUGCCUCCGGAGUGUUGGGAUUAAAGGCAUGCACCAAUAUGCCCAGCUCCUCUUCUUUAUUGGAAGUUGAAAAGGAAAGAUUCUAACCCUCAAGGCCUGGCGUUGCUGCCUUACUCUGCCCAAAUGACCCCGGAGAACCCCGGUGGCAGGCCUGGCAGCGCGACGUG